GGUGAUGGGACUGGGGAGAAGCUGGGGCUGGUAAGGAAGUUAGUACUAUGAGUAGACACUGCUGAUAGGGCAGCUUGCCCCGCCUUCUCUUCCCCAAAGCUUGGCAUGCAGAAUUCUUACUGAAAGAGGUGAACGAAGUUUGGUGUACCCUCCAAAGUGGAGAUGGCCCAGUGGCCCAGCUUGUGUCUGUCUUUAGAACAAGAAAGAGAUCCAGGAGUUGGAAACUAAAAUACCACUUUUAAUUUUGUGAAUCUAAUUGGAGGGAAUAGCUCAGAAAUAGCUUGUUGAUUUGCUUACCCUUCCUUGAAUUGAACUUGCCACUCAACACUUGAGGCCUGCUUUCCCUCACCCCUCUCCCCCGUCAUCAGAACUUGCCAGCUAAGCUUCCAUAUGGAUGAGAGCAGAUGAGAAAUCAUCCUUUCUGCAUGAAGAUGAGGAGGAAAAGGCAAGGAGGUCGGCCAGGCAUCAACUCCUGCUCUAAACCUGCUGAUCAGUCCUCACAAGGCCAGAGAUCAGGAGUUUCUUUGAACACUUUUAGAAAUGUGACUCCUUUGUCUUCUAGCUUGCAUGGUUUCUGAUGAGAAGUCUGAUGAAACUCUUUGGCAAGUUGUGCUGUUUGCUGACAGGAGGCCUCAGUUUCUCACCACAGAAAUCUUCCAUUAAGAUUGCUUGAGCAUCCUUAUGACAUGACUGUUGACAUUCCCCACAGCAAGUGACUUAAGAGAGAGAGCAUGGAGGAAGCUACAGCGUCCUUAUAUCCUGGCCUCAGAAUUCACCCUUCAUCAACUCUGCCACAUUCUGUUUGUUAGAAGUGGGUCACUAAGAACAACCCACGCUCAAAGGCAGGGGCAUUAGCCUCUGCCUUCUGAAGUGAAGAGUGUCAAAGAAUUUGUAGAUAUUAAAAAAAAAACUACUUCAGAGAUUAAAAGGUCUCACCUUAUAGAGCCUUUAGAAGUAAGUUCCCUUAUCCUUUACAUCACCUAUGAAGGUGCUGUUUUGAUUUGAAUUGCUCAUUCUGCUGCUCUUAGAGUACCCCUUUCCAUGUGCUAAUACAGUUACUAGGGUCAUACCUAUCCUUUUCUAUCUGAUAAGAUAAAAAAAAAACCCAACUCCUAGGGCACGUGGAAGGGAAACGUGUACUAUUUGGGGUAUGUAUUAGUUUCCUAGGGUGGCUGUAACAAGGUAUCACAGACUGUUGGCUUAAAACAGCAAAAUUUAUUCUCCCACAGUUUUGGAGGCCAGAAGAUUGAAAUCAAGGUGUUGGUCAGGUUGAUGGCUUCUGGAGGCUCUGAGGGAGAAUCUGUUCUAUGCCUCUCUCCUGGCUUCUGGUGGUUGCUGGCAAUCCUUUGUUCCUUGGUUUAGAGAAGCAACAGUCCAUUGUCACAUGGAGUUCUCCGUGUGUGUGUGUGUGUGUGUGUGUGUGUGUGUCCAAAAUUCUCUCUUCUGAGGUUCUCUUUGGACGUCUGCCUGGUACCAAAAUUCUCUCUUCUGAUAAGGGUGCCAGUCAUUGGAUUAAGGUCCACCUUAAUGCAGUAUGCCCUCAUUUUAACUUGAUACAUCUGCAAAGACCCUAUUUCCAAAUAAGGUAACAUUCUGAGGUUCCUGGUGGACAUGAAUUUUGGGGGAGACACUAUUUAACCCAAUAUAGGAUAUAAAUAUUGAAAUUCACUAGUGUCUCUAGACACUUCACCAGAGGGAAGUUUCCAUGACACUACAACCUCCAGAUGUCCUUGAGUAGGUCAGUGAACUGUCAAAUUGUAGAACCAUGGCUGCUACUUGUUCUUAUGUACAUAUUUGGUUACUGGAAGCCAAGAGAAUUAGUACUAAGUAGAACAGAUUGAAAAUAGUAACAGACAUAAAGAUGAUUCUUCUAACCACUUUUAUGUACCCUCUCAUUGUCAGCUGAGCCUGAGAAACUUGCCACUUUUGAUCAUCUGACUCUGUGUCAUCAUAGCAUCUUUUCUGAUUACUUGGUACCAAGGGGAGAGGGAUCAUACCAGAGGUCAUUGCUUGCAUCCUUUGGUCUGUAGGCAAAGCCUUUUUUCAGAUCACACAAGUGCAAAGUGUACUCAUCUAAAUGACACUUUAGUAGAGGAAUCAAGGGAUUGUCAGGCUCUCGCCUACCCCCUUACUUGAUAUGCAUAGAGGGGGCACUUUUGUCUCCUAGGAAAGAGUGCAGAAUUUGGUUUCUUGAUUCUCAAGCUGACCCUACUUUAGGGAGGGGACCAAAAGGAGAAGAGACUGCUCCCAGUACAGUGAGUAUAUAGAAGGUAUUCUAUAAAUGUUUGUUGAAUUAAGGAAUUUUUUUUUCCAUUAUAGGAGUAGCUCUUUGCCAUAAUAGUAGCUAAUAUUUACCUAUAUAGUGCUUUGUCUCCUUUGGCUUCCACAACAUCAGUAUGUGGAAGGUUUUAUUACUCCAGCUAUCCCCACCAUCAAAUUAUCAUCUAUCUAAACUAUAUGUAGUUCCCUAAAUCUAGUGCCCUGUUUCACAGCUUGAUGCCUUUGUUACUUCUUCCUGGAUUCCUCCUUAUCUUGCUCCCCUCUCCAAUUUGUUAAUAUUUCUCUCUGCACUACUUUUGUACUUUUAUAGUGUUCUUGAAUUAUAUAUUUUUUAUCUGUCCUCCACUGGACUGGGUGCUACUUGAAAGCAGAAAUUGUCUGUUUUCCCAUCCCCUAAAAGUGUCUGACACAUAGGAGGCCUUAGCUCAAAGAAGGAAACCAAGUUGGAAUGAAUGAAUAAUUUGCGUAAGGUCACACAGCUGGUGUAGGGCAGAGCCAGGAAACUAGAUCUUUAACCAAUUAACAACCAUAAAGAACAAACACUGCACAGGUUCAGGAGAUCCAAGGAUUAAACCUAAGUUGGCAACUCUUGUGUUAUUCUACCUAUGUGAGAUACUGUACAUUUAUGAUAUUUUGGUUCUCAUUUGUAAAACUCUUUUUAGGACCAUCAACCAAAUGUUCUUUUUGUAUGUAUUUCAUCCAAAGAAAUUGAAAAAGUCUCAAUUCCCUACAGAUUCUUGUUGAGAGAAUUGGCUGAAGAGAGCUGCUGGCUAUCAUGAAGGGAUGGAGAAUUUGCUUCUCUGGCUCAAGAGCACCCCUCCUAUGAGGAGUUUAGACUAGGGCCCUGUUGGAACUUAUGUUCCAAGUCUUUGUACCUCACCUGAAUGCUCUCCAUUGAUGACCCCACUACCUUUUAUUCUUUCUUUCCUUCAUCUGUAUGUUGAGAUGUGACAGUUCCUCAUUCGUAUGGGUGUGGAACUCCUGAUUUGUGGGAGUGACUUCUUUUUGCUCUCCAUGGUCCUGAAAGAUGUCCCUGAGUUUCCUGAAAGUUUCUGUUUCCCAAAUGCAGGUUUGAGUUUUCAUUCAUUUUUGAAGAAAAACAACAUGGCAGAUGAUCUGCUAAUGACUGACUGGAAACCACAGGAGAAUGAAAGGCACUACCCAGGCGGUAGAGUCAGAUUUUCUGUUCUUUUGCAUUUCUCCAUCUCUCCUUCUUGUAGUCUCUUUUCCUUUGGCUGUCUCAGUGAGUCCAGCUCUACUUCUCUUGUUGCUGAGGUCUCAGACCUUAUGAUUUACUCUAGAGGUGCUGGCAAGACUGAGCUCAGAUUUGGGAUUAAGGAGAUUAGGACUGGAGAAGUAUUUGGUAGCCACCAUCUUCAACACACGCUAUUGCUGUGGGUAGAAUUCCAUAUUGAGAAACUAAGGAUAUGCAAGCUAGAGCAGUAACCUCUUGUCCAUGGGAAUCUAGCUCACUGGAGGUGAGAGAGUGAGUCUACUAACCAGAGAAUAAAGGGAAGUUUAAGACAAUGUUUAUUCCUGGUAAUUUUGCUCUCUUAGGCCUAGAUAAAGAUUGGAGAUCUGUUGGAUCCUGACUAUUCAAAGCAUGUUUGUCAAAGGACAGCAGCAUCAGCUUCAUCUAGGAGUUUGUUAGAAAUACAGAAUCUCAGGCCCAGCACCAGAUUUGCAAGAUCAUUUUAACAAGAUCCACAGAGAAUUUGCUAAUGUAUUAACAUUUCAAAAUCGCUGCUCUUGGACCUUCUUUCUCAAGUGUGAUCUGAAAACAUCUAGAGCUCUUCUUAAGAAGCAAAUUCUUAAGCUCUGCUCUAGAGGGACUGUAUCUGGCUCUCUGCAGGAAUCUGUGCUUUAGCAAGCACCCUGGGUUCCUGUGCACACUAACAUUUGAGGUCCACUGCUUUAGAUGUAGGAAGUUUGAGCAGGGAAGGGUUAUGGGCUAGAAAUGGAAUGAUGAUAUUUAGGAACUGUACAUAAAUCCCUUGACUCCUGCUGAGACCAGUGGAGCUGAUCCAGUUGAUAUGUGGAGAACACAGAUCUCUUACUGUCCUCAAGAAUCACCUGGAUGUGAUAGCAGGGAGGCUGCCAUUUCUGUCCCCUUACUGAUGGCCAGUAAAUGAUAGGAACCAGUGACCCUGGUGAUUAAAAGCUCAUUUCUGGGCAAUUUUGCAUGAGAGAUCACAUGAAAGCCAUGUUCAUUUCAAAGAUACAGGGUUAGCUGUGGCUUCAGCCCAUGGAGGCCAAAAGUGGGACUAUUUCCCUGUAAAAGAAUCCUGAAAAGUAAAAAUGGUGAUUUGAUUAUCCCCAGGUAUUUAUUCUAUCAGGUUGGGUUCCCACAUCUUACGAUUGGAAAAUAUUGGAGAAGAUACCAAGUAUUGACAGAGUUUCAGUGAUAUGACCAUCUGUCAAUUCUCUAACUUCACAGAAGUUGAAAAAGGAAAGAAUCCAGAUCAUCAAAAUCCACAGAAAAUACAAAAGGUCCUUUUUGCUCAAAAGUUACAAAUUCUUUUAUAUUAGCCUCUGAGAACGAUUUUCAGGGAUCCUUAGGACCUCAGGAAAGCUCUUCUCUCCUAGGCCUGUGGAGAGUCUGAGGGCCAAGAGACUGUCACAAGUGGGGAGGGAAAGGUGCUAAAGAGCUUCCCAGCCUUCUUAGAGUGGAAAGGAAAAAGCACCUCCUUGUUUUAAAAUGCCAGGUGUAAACCCACUCUCUUUAGCUGCAACAGUGGGCUUCGCCUUGGGUAUCGUGGAUGCUCUUUCUUGGUGCUAAAACCACUCCCAGAUUUCCCUGGUGUCGCUCCAAAUCAAGUGACAUGGCCUCUGGAACAAGAAGUGGAGGGUCUAUCACCAUAGAGCGAGAGUUCACUUAAAAGAGGGAGAAGGGGCAGAAAUCUUGCAUUGAGUUCGCUCUGCCACUAGGUGACCCAUGAAGAGCAGCUUACCACUCAGUAGGCUCAUAAAGUUGACUGAUUUUUUGUUGUCAUUAUUAGAUCACUUUGAAAAAUUGUAGAGUGUGAUGCAGCAAAGAGUAAGAUCUUUCAGAUAAAGGAAAACUGGGUUCAAAUCCUGGCUCUGCCUCCUUAUUGUUCAACCUUGAGUAAAUCACAUAAUUUCUCCAAGCUCAGUUUUAUUGCAGUAAAAUAGGGAUAAUAAAUUAUGAGUAUAUUGAGAAAAAUGGAAGCACUGAGCACACCAGUGCCAGCAUGCAAGGCAUGCUCAAUAAGGUUCUUUAUUAUUAUUCCACAAGUUACUGACCUCAAAGAACAGAUCUGUGGGUGAGAGUCCUGGUCUAAAAAAAAAAAAGUUUUCCUUUGCCAAAUAAGUGAUGCUUGAAAAAAAAAAAAGCCCAUAAUGUAAUACUUAAUUAUAAAAAAAAAGUUUUGGUGGAGGGUGGGAGUACAGCUCAUUGGUACAGCCUGUGCUUAACAUGCAUGAGGUCCUCGGUUCAGUUCUCCACUACCUCCAUUAAAAAAAGAAGAAGAAAGAAAGAAAAGAAAAAGUUUUGGAAGAAAAACUUAGGACCAGUUUUGCCCAGGGUUCCAAGAUACAGAUUCAAAGAAACAUAUAGAUUGAUUAAAGUUUUCUUUUAGGAAAAUAACUUUUUAUCCACAUUUUGCUCAGUGUAAUAAACUUUGUUUUAAUCUAACCAAUAUAGUUUCUCCAUUCUUCCAGAAAAUGCCGUUUCACUCUCUACUGUGUUUCAAAUAAAAACAUCCAUCUCUUUAGCAGUCUCCUGAGCAACACCAUCCCCAUCCCCAACUACAGUUGAUGAAACUAGUCUGAGUGUAGCUAAGGUGUGCUGUGGCAGAGUUGUCCACCAAAUAUUUUGGAUUUUCCCCUUUCUAGGCUUCUGGUGGGAUUGCACUUUCUGGUCUUACUGUUGUGUGUUUUGGGGGCGGGUGCCAAGUUAGUGCUGGCCAAUGGGUUAUUAGCAGAAGAUCUCUCCUGUACUGGGCAUUAAUUGUGGAUGCAGGAUCCUCCACAGCUCUCUCCCCAUUGGCAUAGCAGUCACCUGAGUUGAAGAUGGUGGCUGUUCUGUAAGCCUGGAUCUCCAAGUGACCACAAUGAACGGAGCCACCCUCACUAAUCUGCAGUAGACAGAUAGCAUGGGAAAGAAGGAAAAUGUUUUGUUUUAAGCCAUUGGGAUAUGUGAGUUGUUUGUUACUGCAGCAUAAUAUAUUCUAUCCUGAUAACGCUGAUAGACUAGGAUCUUUGAUUCCUAGAUCAGCUCCUAAACUGAGGAUCGCUUGCUGCUAGCUUACUCUUCAGCUGGUGUCUCAGCUCUCCACAGCAGAGAUAUGCCCAUAUUCAGACCCUUGUUUCAGGGUUCUUUCUUGAAAUUUUCUGCUUCUGGACCAGAAAGAGUGACCCUUUCUUUCUUUGUUGGCAAAGAUGAGAGUUAAGAACUUAAGAUAGAGGUGGCUAUGAUUACAGCUUAGACAAGUAAGUUUGAAAAAAUUGAAACAAUACAGAGAAAAGAGGAGAUAAAAGAAGAGGAGUCUUAAUUGCAUUUGAGUCCUUGGUUCUAGUAAUACCUGAGGUUCAGUUGCAUCCCGGCUCUUCCUUUAAUUUGUUAAAUAGGACAAUAAAUCCCUAUUUUGACAGGCUUGAGUUAGGUUUUGCCAUUUUCAGCCAAAAAGAGACCUGAUUAAUAUACCCAGAUUUAACAUUCCUAGAAGUCAUAUGGUAUUUUUAUUUGCCUGGAUAGUAAAGCUCAAUUCAAACCAAAGCCCAAGGCCUUCUUGGCCAUUUUCAGCUUUGUGUCCAGUAAUGUUUCCUUCACACCCCAAAUUCUCUAGGGAAUUCCAGAGGGUAAUGUGAAAUCCUGUAGUAACACUGAUGUUUCUAUGUUGUGCAUGUAGAGAAUUCUCAGGUCCCUAGUGCCUGGGGAUUUUAGAAGUGAAGUACUGUAGUGUGCCUUCACAAGUAACUUUUACCAGUAUAAUCCAGGAUUGAAAGCUGUUGUUGCACUCAGAAUUGUGUUUAGAGUACAGUAGUUAAUUUUUCUAUAACAAUGCAAAAGGCAGUAAUAGAGCAAGCUACCCCAAGGUUCAUACCUAGUUUAGACAAGACAGUAAAAGGGUUUACCUACCUUGUAAGACCUGGCAUCUUCCUCGUUCUGCGGCACCGAGUGGCAUUUGUGCUCUGUGAGGUCUUUGCAAAGUGCACACAAGAAUUGCUGGUCCUGGUAAUAGAAAAAGAUCCUUUCCUUGUGCUGCUCACAGAACCAGACUUCCUGUGCUGGAUUCUCACCCCUGGGCUCCAGUGUUAGGAGGCUGGGGACCAAACUGGCCAGAAUCCAGUUGGGCCCGAGGUCCCCUCUUGAAAUGGCUGCUUGCAGAAGGGACAGCACAGGGCUUCCUCGGUGGAUCUGAAAGUGACGCGGCACCCGGUGACGCCGGCCUGGCAGGAGCUGUGGCCACAGAAGAGGCUCACAGGGUCCGGCGCGUGCUCCAGGCAGACCCUGCAGGUCACCUCUCCCAGGAGGUCCCCCGCAGUGGGCCCACUUGCCGUGACUGCCGUCCACGGUGCGCUCAGCAUUUCCUUCUCAACGGUGACUCUGUGGCAGGAGGAGGAUGCGGUGAGGAAUGUGAACAGGACCUGAGGCGGGAAGAGGAGGGUUUGGGAUGGAGAGGGGUCAUCUCGGCCACUGGUGCGGGGCCUCCCCAGGAGCAUCCUCUCUAGUCCCCACACACACUCUCAUCCUCUCCAGUCUCUUCCACGUGCGGAUGGAGGGGAGUGUUUCAGAAUGGAAGCUCACCUGUGCUUCUCUGUUUCCAGCAAAAGGGGAGGAGGGCUCCCAGGGCCCAGCCUCUCUCCUCAGCCUCCCCUCUCUGUCCCAUCUUGUUCCCCUCCUGCCACCAGAGCAAACAGGGUUGAGCAUCAGCUGUGUGCCCGGCACUGUUCUGAGCACCUCAUAGGUCUCAGCUCAGCCAGUCCUCACCUUGUCUCUAAAAUCCUCACCCAUUUUACAGAUGAGGAAAGUGAAGGGCACUGGGGUCAGUCACCUGCUGGGGUCACACAGCUAAGUGGGUGGGACAGGAGAUGCUGGGUCCAGGCUUUUUAGAUGGAGCCCGCACUCUUCAGCACCAUGUCCAGCUGCCUCCAGCCUCCCUGGACCUGGUCAGUCCCACGAACCCCCAACACUGGCCAAUAUACAUACAGGACUUCUCAUCAGUGGUUUCCCUCCAUAUAGACCACACCUGCCCUGUCAACUCCUGUUCAUCCUAAGGGCUCAGUUUCAAUGCCACCUCCUCAGGGAGGACGUCCUGAGCUGCUCUCAGACUAGGGUGGGCACCCAUCCUCUACACUCCAGAUGCCUGUCUUUCCACUUGAUUAUUUAGUGUCUAAACACGUAGGGCAUAUUUGACUUUCUCAUUAAAGCAUCCCCAGUUCCUGGCAGAUACUGAACCGAAAUAAGUAUCAUUUGAGUUAAUAAAUUAAUAUACCUCCUCCAAGUGUCAUUAGGGAGAACAUGUUUCUGGUAAUGGCAGGCUAGGACACGGGGACUACCUGACCUGAAAACAGACAUAUAUUUUGAUGCAGUGUACCUUACUUAUGACUACAGUGAUUUAAAAAUAUUUGGGGGCUGUUAUAUGAAGAAUUAUACUUACUCUGUUUGACCAAAGAGGUCAGAAAUUAGUCACUUUUUGUAAAAGCUUCUGGGAGACAGAAUUCAGUUCAGUAUCAAGGAUUUAAAAAAAAGAAAAGACAGCAUAGGAAUGAGCUUUGUUGGUGGAUAGUUCUCUGUCACUGAAGGUAUUCAACCACUCACUCUUUUUUGGGGGGUGGGGAGAGGUUUAUUUAUUUUUAAUAGAAAUACUAGGGAUUGAACCCAGGACCUGACACAUGCUAGAUAUGCACUCUACCACUGAGCUGUAGCCUCCCCCCUGCCCUGUGACCACUCUCUCUUGAUGUGUACGUGUUGUGUACGAGAAAUGUGAUGUGCUGGGAGGAUCAACCACCUGAUCUCUGAGGCCCCUUCCUUGCUCAACUUGUCAUAGUAGAGCGAGCGCUGGGCCGGGUGUCAGAGGACCUGGCUUCCACUAGCUGUGUGAUCUUGCUUUGGGCACUCUUGAGUCUCUUAACGUUUUUUUUUUUGUUUGUUUGUUUGUUUUGUUUUUGUUUUUUUUUUGGUUAACCUAGUAUAGUAAUAUCUGAUCACUUCACAGAAUUAGAAGUGGGUUAUAUUGAAUAAUACAUGUAAAUCCUUGUUUUAUUGUGUUUUUUGCUCUUUCCUUUGUUAUUAUGAAAACCUAUGGCAACUCUUUUUCCAUCUCUAAUUAUUUUUAAUUGUACAACAUCAUUAUACCAACAACAAUAAAAGGAUUUUUUAAGUGGAAAAGGAACAAACUCACCUGCAAUCCUACUUAUUUUUCUCUACUCUCUUCCAAUGUGACCAAGGGUGGCUUUGGGUACCCACAUGGGGAACUGUUUUAAUUAAGAAUAUGAGAAGCCCCACCAGUUCCUUGAGCUUUUUGCUGCCCCCAAUAAAGAAAGACCGAAAAUGAAUGGAAAUUGUUUGUCUCCUUUCUCCAGCCCAUUGAACAAUAUAAAUUGUUCCCUCCCUUUCCCUCUGUUGUUCUGACUCUUCAGGUACUAUGUGUAGACAUGUGAGUGAGUUCCAACUCAGUCCUGUCUGCCCCUUUCCCUCAAAAAAUCAUACCAAGAGGAUUCAUCCUGAACACAACACAUGGUGAAGAAGGAAGAGAGGGUGAGAGAAAUAGACUGGCUUUUGCCUGAGAUCCUCCAAGUGUUGCAACACAGAGAGGUUACCUUGGAGAGAUGGGGCAACUCCAGAAAAGAGAAGAGAAACAGUUGUACCCACUGUAAUGUUCAACCUUCCCCUAAGGAGCUGAAACAGACAAUGUUCCAUGUCUACGCUCCCUUCCUAGAGUUUUAGACAAGGGUUCAGCACUGACAGAAUAUGCUGAGUACUUUCAACUUUCACACAGCUUUUGAGCAUCAUUUGUAUCCAAUAUUUACAUCGCUAGCAAUUAUAAGCCACUGCUACAAGUUGUAAAUUGUGUUGGACUGGGUCCCCCUGAAUGACCUUGCACUUGAUAAUAAGAAUUGGAGUGAUGAGGGUUCUCCUCCUGUUGCGGUUUCAGGGCAUCCCCAAGGCCAUUCUUGCCAGUAAGUAUGGCCCUUAGGAUUGGGUGGGGUAGGGGU
Molecule: long non-coding RNA, 10461 nt
Organism: Camelus dromedarius (Arabian camel)
Lineage: Eukaryota; Metazoa; Chordata; Mammalia; Artiodactyla; Camelidae
Exons: 4
Source: RefSeq, a predicted model, not a curated record